AAUAGAUACCCCGGUAGUCCACGCCGUAAACGAUGAGUGCUAAGUGUUAGGGGGUUUCCGCCCCUUAGUGGCUGCAGCUAACGCAUUAAGCACUCCGCCUGGGGAGUACGGUCGCAAGACUGAAACUCAAAGGAAUUGACGGGGGCCCGCACAAGCGGUGGAGCAUGUGGUUUAAUUCGAAGCAACGCGAAGAACCUUACCAGGUCUUGACAUCCCAUUGACUACUAUGGAGACAUAGUUUUCCCUUCGGGGACAACGGUGACAGGUGGUGCAUGGUUGUCGUCAGCUCGUGUCGUGAGAUGUUGGGUUAAGUCCCGCAACGAGCGCAACCCUUGUUCUUAGUUGCCAUCAUUUAGUUGGGCACUCUAAGGAGACUGCCGGUGACAAACCGGAGGAAGGUGGGGAUGACGUCAAAUCAUCAUGCCCCUUAUGACCUGGGCUACACACGUGCUACAAUGGACGGUACAAACGGUUGCCAACCCGCGAGGGGGAGCUAAUCCGAUAAACCGUUCUCAGUUCGGAUUGUAGGCUGCAACUCGCCUACAUGAAGCC
This 552-nucleotide ribosomal RNA is filed under the name uncultured bacterium. Its description in RNAcentral is "bacterial SSU rRNA". It matches the Rfam family "Bacterial small subunit ribosomal RNA", at positions 777 to 1327 of the family's 1533-position model. The record is from RNAcentral.